GUAGGUGGCAAGCGUUGUCCGGAAUUAUGGGCGUAAAGCGCGCGCAGGCGGGCCCGUUUAAGUCUGAUGUGAAAGCCACGGGCUCAACCGUGGAGGGUCAUUGGAAACUGGGGGACUUGAGUACAGAAGAGGAAAGCGGAAUUCCACGUGUAGCGGUGAAAUGCGUAGAGAUGUGGAGGAACACCAGUGGCGAAGGCGGCUUUCUGGUCUGUAACUGACGCUGAGGCGCGAAAGCGUGGGGAGCAAACAGGAUUAGAUACCCUGGUAGUCCACGCCGUAAACGAUGAGUGCUAAGUGUUAGGGGGUUUCCGCCCCUUAGUGCUGCAGCUAACGCAUUAAGCACUCCGCCUGGGGAGUACGGCCGCAAGGCUG
RNAcentral lists this ribosomal RNA (372 nucleotides) under uncultured organism. Its description in RNAcentral is "partial 16S ribosomal RNA". It matches the Rfam family "Bacterial small subunit ribosomal RNA", at positions 527 to 896 of the family's 1533-position model. The record is from RNAcentral.